Molecule: long non-coding RNA, 571 nt
Organism: Rhagoletis zephyria (snowberry fruit fly)
Lineage: Eukaryota; Metazoa; Arthropoda; Insecta; Diptera; Tephritidae
Source: RefSeq, a predicted model, not a curated record
UACACCCCUGAGUAUAAAGUAUUUUUGCAAGGCAAUUUGAAAAAAAAUUUUAUGGCCUUUUUAAAUUUGUUUCGUUAUGUAUUCGGCAUAUACAGUUGGAUCUUAAAGUAUGAAAAAUCGAUGUUCUAGUCUCAUUUAUCUCAAAGUACCCCGAUCUAGUGCCUUCUCAAUCACAUCUCAGUUCUUAACACCGUAACGUCGUAACACCCUACUGCCAGUAAUUAAAGCUCACCAAAAAUCAUUCAACUUCUCCUAAUGUAGUAUUGUGUUUAUUCCAGUGAACUAUUUAGAAUAAACAAAAUUUUUCCGAAUGCAGGUAUUACCGUAAUUGGGUUAAAAAGGCGAUCGCUAGGUUCGGGCAAAUUUUUUUUUUUUAGAAUUUGUCUUGGAAAAAUACUUUAGCUCAGGGAGUGGUUGUUAUGUAUAUAGAGAGUUUUAUUUUUUAGGAUUUAAAGGUUAUUGUACAAAAAUCAGUACAUAUCUAGACAUCGUUACUCUUAAUAUAGAAAGGUGGAACUAAUUUUCUUUUGAACAGAAUUCGUUAGAUUACCCAGUCAAUACAAAAUAGAAU